CCUACGGGAGGCAGCAGUGGGGAAUAUUGCACAAUGGGGGAAACCCUGAUGCAGCGACGCCACGUGAGUGAUGAAGUAAUUAGUUAUGUAAAGCUCUAUCAGCAGGGAAGAAAAUGACGGUACCUGAGUAAGAAGCACCGGCUAACUACGUGCCAGCAGCCGCGGUAAUACGUAGGGGGCAAGCGUUAUCCGGAUUUAUUGGGGGUAAAGGGUGCGUAGACGGCAGUGCAAGUCUGGAGUGAAAGGCGGGGGCUCAACCCCCGGACUGCUCUGGAAACUAUGAGGCUGGAGUGCAGGAGAGGUAAGUGGAAUUCCUAGUGUAGGGGUGAAAUGCGUAGAUAUUAGGAGGAACACUAGUGGCGAAGGCGGCUUACUGGACCGUAACUGACGUUGAGGCUCGAAAGCGUGGGGAGCAAACAGGAUUAGAUACCCCAGUAGUC
RNAcentral lists this ribosomal RNA (440 nucleotides) under uncultured bacterium. RNAcentral's name for it is "partial 16S ribosomal RNA". It matches the Rfam family "Bacterial small subunit ribosomal RNA", at positions 338 to 795 of the family's 1533-position model. The record is from RNAcentral.